RNAcentral lists this transfer RNA (69 nucleotides) under Pachyhynobius shangchengensis (Shangcheng stout salamander). RNAcentral's name for it is "tRNA-Ala". It matches the Rfam family "tRNA". From Rfam's summary of the family: Transfer RNA (tRNA) molecules are approximately 80 nucleotides in length. Their secondary structure includes four short double-helical elements and three loops (D, anti-codon, and T loops). Further hydrogen bonds mediate the characteristic L-shaped molecular structure. tRNAs have two regions of fundamental functional importance: the anti-codon, which is responsible for specific mRNA codon recognition, and the 3' end, to which the tRNAs corresponding amino acid is attached (by aminoacyl-tRNA synthetases). tRNAs cope with the degeneracy of the genetic code in two manners: having more than one tRNA (with a specific anti-codon) for a particular amino acid; and 'wobble' base-pairing, i.e. permitting non-standard base-pairing at the 3rd anti-codon position. Lineage: Eukaryota; Metazoa; Chordata; Amphibia; Caudata; Hynobiidae. The record is from RNAcentral.
AAGGUCUUAGCUUAAUUAAAGUAUCUGGGUUGCAUUCAGGUAAUGUAGGAUAGAGUCCUGCAGGUCUUA